Sapajus apella (tufted capuchin) is the source of this 3471-nucleotide long non-coding RNA. RefSeq lists it as uncharacterized. The transcript is spliced from 2 exons. Lineage: Eukaryota; Metazoa; Chordata; Mammalia; Primates; Cebidae. The record is from RefSeq and is a predicted model, not a curated record.
GUGAAAGAGAUCUCCCUGAUGGAUGUAACAAAAACAAAUGCAUUUGACUUCCACUGCCUGCCUGGCGUGUCACGUGGGUUCAAUACUUGGAGAUGGAAAAUUAUGACCACAGUGACUUUUUUCCUCAGGUCCAACCUUUAAUUUUUCUCGAAAUUUUUAAUAUAGUACUUUGUCCACAAAAUUGCAAUUUAAGUUCUUGUCUUGUACCCUUCAUUGUUAUUUUUGUUUUUCUCUGGGCUUUUUCUGACUCUUUGAUGUUCUUAAAAUGUGGAAAAUGUAAGCAUGAACAUUUCACUGGAAAUAUGACUUCCUUAUUCAUUUGAGCCUGUGAACAAACAAUAUUUGGGGAUUCCCUUCUUACCAUAUAUAAAGAAUUCUAUUUUUUUUCAUACUCAUCCUGAGACCAAGCAGUACUCGCUGUUUUUGUUUCAAAAGUUUUAGAAAGUUCUUUCUUUCUUUCUUGAUAGCAUAUCCUCUAUUUGGCAGAACACAAGACAUCUUUUCUCUGUGUUUUCUUUGGCAAGUUAAUUCCUUAUCUCAAAUUCUUCUUACCCAGUUUGAGAGACUGGAUUUUAUCCAGGACAUAAGCAUUGUUUCCCUUCAACAGAGUAUCUUGAAGUUUGUAAGCUCAGUUAACAAGACUACAGAUUUUAGCAUAAUAUAUAUAUGUUGAUAUAUAAAAUGCAUAUGCUAGAAAUACCAGCUUUUAGAACUUGUAGACCACCAAACUAUUUUGAAGACAGGAGAGGACUGGGAGAGGGCUGUGAAAAAAAGCUUUAUUAAGGUAUAUAUGAAUAUAACCCAAAAAAGGUAAUUCUUACAUUUAAUUUCUUCCAUUUGACUUUCUUUACCUCAGCUAGAAUCUAUGCUAGUACUUUGUUUUCUUCUUUCUUUCUUUGGUAGGAUCUUUUAAGGUAAAGCCCUCAUUGUAACAGAAAACAUUAGGGUAGCUUAUUAUGGAAAUGAGGCCAUAUUUUCAGAUACAUUCCUGCUGUUAUCCUUAUGGGUACUUUGCAAGCUUUUCUUGUUCUGGUUCUUUGUUAUCCAUUUUUCUUCUUUACAGAUGUCAUUGUUUAUGUACUGUUACAAGUCCUCUGAAACACCCUAUUCCCCUUGCUAAUGUUAAUAAUUUAAAAUAUAGUGACAUCCCUUACUGUGGGGAAAUGUAAAGGUGGUUGAAUGCACACAAGGGCAUUCAGCAGCUAUUGUAGCCAUAAUUGCUGCUUGGCUGUGGUAGGACUGAUUUAUAGAGACAGAACAACAGCAAAUCUGAAUACAGCAAAUCUGGAUUUGCAGAAAAAGUCCAGGGGCAAUAAGUGCUACUUCUCCCAUGCAACCUCCACAAAUGUCAUGUGUUUAAAAUGUUCAUCUUGUAAAAUAUCUCUGCACAGUGUUAUGUAAAUGUUGCAUAUAGCAAUGCUGACAAGAAUUUGUUCUAGUACAUGUUAUCCCAAGUUAAAUGUUUUCUUUUGCAUCAACUAAAAUCCGAAAAGUAAGCUAGCACACCAUUUUUUUUCUGCCUCUCUUUUUAAAAUCCAUUUUAACUACAAACCUCUUUGGGACUUUCAUUUUUAGGAAUAAAUAGUUUAUUUACAAAUCAUUGUGAUUUCUUAUUGAAGCUGGUGGAAAACUGGACUCUUACUUAUGCUACAGAAUUACCAGUGAUGGUUACUAUCAUUAUAUAGCCUAGUCUCCAGAUGCCUAGUACUUACCUGUAAUCAAGAAAUGGUUUGAAGAGCUAAGUAUGUCAUAGUUCCCUGCAUGCUGCUUACUGGUUUUCUGGCUGCUGGCCUUUAAUGUUAAUGAAUAUUCAGUGGCUUAUUAUUCUAAAUGAGAGAGGAAAAACAUGGCUUCUUUAUUGUAAUAUGCUUAAGGUCAGUCUACAUUAUAGAUGAGUGGGCAAAUUGGAUACUUGGGAUAAUUUGAAGAUGCCACAUGUCCCCAUUACCCCAUUGAAAUUAUUGGGGUCAAGGAUAUGGUCUCUGCUACCACAUAAUGUUUUUAAAAUUAAUUCUUAUUUUUAAACAAAUGAUAAAUUCACAAAAUUUAAAAAAUCAAAUUGUGUCUAAAACUUUUAAUAACAUAAAACAGAAGUUACCUUCUUGUACCACUUUCACUUUGUUGGAUUUUCCCCGCUCAGUAGUUUUCUUAAAUUAUAUUUUUUUCAUUUCUUCUAUGUUAACAACUAUAAAGUCCUUUCUCAUCUUAUUUUCCACAUAAUCAAGUGUAUCAGAAAUCUAUUAGAUGCAUUAAUUUUAAUCAGAGAUCUGUCUUCCAAAGUCAUCCAUCAUCCCAUAUUAAUCUGGACUGUUGCUACAUGGCUAUUGUCUGGAAUUGAGUUACUAUCCUGGGAUUUCCCUUCAUCUUUCCGUAUUAGACCCUCUGUUUCUUGGAACCUAUGUCAUUUAUCUUGAUAUACUCCCUUGUUUUGGUAGUGUACAUUCUUUAGUGGCUUCCUUAGAAAAAGUGCAUAAAUGGUAAAAUUUUGAGACCUUGCAUAUCUGAUAGUUUUAUUCUAGUCUCACCCUUGGUUGAUUAGUUUAACAGGGUAGAAAAUUUCAGGUUGAAUAUUAGUUUUCUUCAGAAUUUGAAGGUGUUAUUUCAUUGAUUUUGAAUUUUCAACAUUGCUGUUGAUAUCUGAUGUUAUUCUGAUUCUGAUCUUUUGUAUAUCACUCUUUAUGACCUCUAAAAGUUUUUAGAAUCUUCUGUUUGUUCAUGGAAUUCUGAAAGUUGAUGAUGUACAACAGUGGAAUACUUUUACAUUUAUUGUACUGGGUAUUCCAAAGGCCUUUUUAUCCAAAAACUCUUGUCUUUUAGUAUGGGAAGCUUUUCUUUUGUUAUUUUCAUAUUUUUCUUCCCUUUAAUAUUUUUCUUCUUCUGGAAUACCUGUUGGUCAAAUGUCAGAUUUCCUGACUCAUUCUAUACAAUUAGAAACUACACCCAAGUUUCACUGUGGAACUACCCCAGUGAGCCCUUGACUGUUGUCAUCUCUGGGCAGAGAUACCAUAAAUUCACUGCUAACAUUGGGAAUUGGAAAUUAGAAUCUCUUCUGAGAUUCUAAAAGCGAGAUGUUUCUGCCGCCACCCUAUGUCACAUGCUCCUUCACUUUACGGGUUUUUCGAAUCACAGUUGCCCAUGGGUGUGUCUGAUUAGGGAAAGGUCACAUACCUAUACCCUACCUGCAAAAGAGUUGGAGAUUUCAGGCUAAAUGUUAAGGGUCUGAGAGUCAUAAGGUCAGGAAUUCCAUGAACGCAGAAAAGGUAUUCAAAAGGUACUCCGCAGCUAGUGAAUUUAAAUAGAAGACAGUUGGAACUUCAGGACACUGGAUGACUGGAGAGGGUCUUUUUAAAGAAAAAGCAAUAAUAUGAAAGAUUAAUGCUUUCCAAUAUUAUCAAGAUGAUAGCAUUUUUGUGUACUGAAUUACAUGCAUGUUACAUAUAUAAUAAAAUUGUAAAAUUCUGUAUCUAGGAA